UGUAGGCGGUGCGGUAAGUUGGGCGUGAAAUCCCCGAGCUUAACUCGGGUGGGCCGUUCAAGACUGCCGUGCUAGGGUGCGGGAGAGGGAAGUGGAAUUUCCGGUGUAGCGGUGAAAUGCGUAGAUAUCGGGAGGAACACCUGCGGCGAAGGCGGCUUCCUGGACCGUAACCGACGCUGAGGCGCGAAAGCUAGGGGAGCAAACAGGAUUAGAUACCCUGGUAGUCCUAGCCCUAAACGAUGAGCACUGGGUGUGGCCCCUCACGGGGCCGUGCCGAAGCUAACGCAUUAAGUGCUCCGCCUGGGAGUACGGUCGCAAGGCUGAA
This 325-nucleotide ribosomal RNA is filed under the name uncultured bacterium. RNAcentral describes it as "bacterial SSU rRNA". It matches the Rfam family "Bacterial small subunit ribosomal RNA", at positions 570 to 898 of the family's 1533-position model. The record is from RNAcentral.